AUUUCACCUUUAAAACAUUAAAUACUUCUUACACUACUACUAGGGGGUAGGCCUUUUGUCACUUUAUGCUUGGAUUAUUGUAAUGGCUUGCUAAUGGAUCUUCCUGCAAGUCUCUUCCAUGUCAUACACCUUACUCAUUAAAAGCCAGUAGCUUCCUAUUGCUUCCAAGAUCCAUGUAAAAUACCCUUUGGCCUUUUAAGGUCCUUCAUAACGUAGAUUCCUCUCUUAUUUUUCCGUGCUCAUCUUAAUUCUAGGUAUAGUGUUUUAGAUCUAGUGACUGGCCUAGCUGGUCUAUAAACAAGAUAACUCCAUAUGAAGUUUUCACCUCCAGUGCCCAAAAUCUCAAAUGUUCCCUGACUUUGCCCGAGCUAAAAUUCUAUCAUACUGUAAGCCUUCUUUUAACACCUCUUAAAUCCAUUGCCUUUCCUCUGCUAAUUAUAUCCUAUUUAUCCUGUAUGUAGUUUGAUGUAUUUGUUUGCAUGUUGAUUUCCCCAUUAGAUUGGAAUCUCCUUGAGGACGGAAUGUUUUCCCCUUUUUUUAUCCCCAGCAUUUCAUACAGCUCUUGCUACAUAGUAGGUGGUUAUGGUUUAUUGAUUUAUAUAAAAGGAAAUGUGCUUAGUUUAGCAUGACUGUUCAAAAUGAACCUAUGUUGGCUUAUAAUGACCAUUACCUUUUUUUUAAUGUUUAUACACCAAUCUCUCCAGAUGACAGAAUCUCAACAAAAGGGAUCUCAAAAGACUUCCAGACUAGGAAUCUCUUCCACAAUAACCCUUACAAGUAAUCAACAUCUGCUUGAUUUAAGACCUCAUGAAAGAUAACAUUACUCCAAAAUAGUCCAUUCUCUUGGCAUUAGCAAUAUUAGUUUAAUAUGCUGUCAACUCUGUAUUUCAGGAAAGACUUGCCAACUACCUACUAGUAACUCAAAAGUGGUCAUGUCUGGAAUACAUUGUGGCUUGACUUUGGAUGAUUAGGCUUAAGUUAAAACUCCCAUUUUCUGACUUGAUUGGAUGGGAAUAUGUGACCUAGAAGCUUACAAUCAUCCCAGAAUGAAAAUUUCAUCAAUAAUACUUUUAUUAUGGGUGAAGACCUCAUUUUCGGUAGAUGAAUAACAAGAUUGAAUGAAAAAGAGUAUUUGGGCAUCAAUAUAGAGGAUAGAGGGGAGGUAAUUGGUGAAAAGGCUAAAUAAGAGACAAGAGUGACCGUACUGGGAAUGUAAAAUAGGCUUCAGAUGGCAGAAAGAUUACAGAGAUAGGACUUGACAGUUUUUUGGAGACAUAAGUUAGAGAAGAAAACAAUUGAACAUAAUUCAUACUUUUUGAGCCUGGGUGUCUGGGAAGAGACUAACAAAGAAAUUAGAGGAACUAAUUUAGGGAGGCAAAUCAUAAGAUUAUGCUUAGAAUUUAGAGUUAAAAGAGACCAUAGAUAACUUCUAGUCAUCUCCAUUCCCAUCCCCCAUCAUUUUACAAAUGAGAAAACAGGUCCAGAGAUAAGUUGGACACAACGGAAAAAAUGAACAGCAAAAUAUGCUAAUGGUAGCUUUAUCAUAAAGGGAUUUGAUGCUUUCAUCUCUUAAAUUAUAGACUUAGAAUUGGAAAAGGCAAUUAGAAAGGGCUAGCUUUGCUAUUUUGCUAAGUAAAUUUGUUCUGAGCUUUUGGUUCCUCAUCUGCAAAGUAGGAGUGUGAUGCACAAGGCUGGAAUAGAUCAUCUUUAACACUUCUAAUUUCCAAUCAUAUAAGUUGAUAAUGCACUGGUUUGGUUGCUUUAUCUAAUUCAAGAAUCCCCUCUACAGUAUCCCUAUACAGGAUUGAACCUAAAACUAUCUUGGGAAAAUAAUCAAGAGGAAUCCUUUGUCCCAUGGCAUCCCCACCCUUGGAGUGCAAUUUCAAAAAUGUUUCUUAUAAGGGCGGAUAAAUGUAGAGUAGAACAACCACAUCAGUGUCUAGAGGCAUGAUACUCUCUAUAAACCCCAAGAAUCUAAGUGUUGUACAGUAAAUUGGAAUCAUUCCCUUCCUGAAUUUCUCAAAAAAACAAUUGCUCAAUGUAAUGCUCUAUUGGCUGCUUUCCCUCUGCACAAACCAUGAAUAUUUUAAUUGGCUAUACAUUUCAAAUGAUGCUUGGUCCUCCAUGGAAACCAUUUAGGUGUGCUUGUGUUUAUCACAGCCCUUAAUAAAACACUUUUGGGUAGGGAUAUUUAAUAUGUGGUGGUUAUAUUUCUAAUAUUUGGCUGGGUAGUUUGCAACCCAAGUCUCUUUAAAAUUCAGUGAAAAAAAAUCAUAGAAUCUGUUUCAAUAGAAAUAUUUAACAUUUAUAAUGCAUUGUCCUAAUAUUCCUGAGUAGAAAGUAUAGAAAAGGACUCAAAUGAAAUACUUUGCCCUUGAUCACAGUGUUAUAUUGGAACAAGGUCUAGCUUUAGUAGAUACAGUAGUGGAACUGGAGUAAAGACCCAAAUUCAAAUUUGGCCUCAGAUAUUUGCUGUGUGAUAACUGAGCAAAUCACCCAAUCUAUCAAAUGUGAUCCCAUUGAUGUGGCUAUUCCUAUCUAGUAAUACAAAUUGCAGUCCUUCAUACCUGGACAUCUUUUGCAGCAAAAUUCUGAGUUCUUCAAAGAGCAUUAAUCUACCUUUUUUGAUGACAAUAGGGCACAUUCCACUCAGGUUUUUUUUUCUAUUCCAGUUCCUCCAGAAUUGUCUAAUUUUCAUAUAUAACCAUAUGCCUCUCCAUUGUCUUUUGAAUAAUGUACAGCUUUUAAUUUUUUUUUUUUAGAAGUUACAGUUUUCUGUGUGAAUUGAUGCUAAAUUGGAGUAUAAGGAAGAAAAACUCGGCUGAAUUGCCUGUGGGAAAUGACAGAUCUUGUUAAAGGUCCCUUGCUUUUCCUUGAAAUGACCCAUAUUAAAAUCCUAAUCGUAGGGUUUCAUAUCCUCCUCUCCCUACAAAACCAUUUCGUAUACUAAUGGAUAAGUUCCAUAGGUUGUCCAUUUAGCAGAGGCUCCUAAUUAAAGUUAGGAGUUGCUAUCUUUUGAGAAAUUUCAUUGCUUUGGUAAAUGCAUGAGACCUCUUAAAGGAAUCACUUUGUUCUACCAAAUAAAAUUUUGUUUGUUUUUCAGGGGUGGAAUUUCAAGAGCACUGAUUCUGAAACCAGAGGACCCACCUUCAAAUCUUGCCUUUGUUGCUACCUGUGUGACUUUGGGAAAGUCAUAGGCUCCCUGGGCCUCAGUUCACUUAUGGAUAAAAUGAGGGGAUGAAUUAGAUGACCCCAGAAAUUAUAAUUCUAAUUGUGCCUAUGAUUUAAUCUAUUCCCAAGGCUCAUUUGGCCUUAUGGUCAACAAGCAAUAAGCACCAAGGGAUCUUAAGUUUCUGCACCAGUGGCUUGAGUGAUAUGUAGUCGACUGUACAAUAUCAUUUUCAAAAGCCUGCCCAUUCCCUAUUAAUACUUUCAUCAAGAAUAUCUUCAAAUCUUAUAAAUUAUUCUUAUAAAACUUAUACAGAUAAAACAUUAAGCAUAUAAUAUGAUAGCUAUUGAUAUUACCAUUUUCCAGCUAUUAAUGAGAUCUGAAAUAUUUUACAUGCCUUUGAAUUCACAGUAACCUUGUGAAUCGAUCUUUGAAAGUCCUUAUAUAUGAUCAGUCUUCACUAUGGAUGGCCAGUUAACUACUUUUUUUCAUUCUUGUGAUCUCUUAGCUACUUUCUAACCACAUUUGGAACAUGAUGUUAAAGUCUCUAAGAGGAUGCCUCUUCUUUCCUGAAAAGGUUUGUCUUCUCAUGUUUCUCUGAAGGCAGCUGAGUGGUCCUAUGAAUACAGCAAUAGACGUGGAAGCCCAACUAAAACUGACCUCAAUCACUAGUUGUGACCCUGGACAUGCCAAUUUAACUGCUACCUGCUUCAAUUUCCUCGUAUGUAAAUUAAGUAUAAGUGUAUUUACCUGCCAGGAUUAAAAGGAGUUAAUAUUUGUAAAGUGUUUUGCAAAUCUUAAAGCAUUAUAAUCUUUACAUUACAAUAAUAUACUGUUCACAUGACAUUUUGGUUAGCCAGUCCCCAAUAAAUGAAUAUUUUUCCAAUUAUUUGCCAUUGCUCCUACAAAUAUGUCCAAUGGAAGACCUUUCAGUCUUUGAUCUCGUUACCUUAAGUUUUUUAUAAACUAUAAAUCCUCCAAUGCUUUCUCUAGGUUUUAUAAGUCAAUGCUACUUAUUUUUUUUUAAGUUAUUUUAUUUUGCUUCAAUUACAUAUUAAAGCAAUUUUUAAACUGAGUUCCCAAUUCUAUCUCUCUCUUUCCCUCCACUCCCUUUCUCUGAUGAACAUUUUGACAUAGAUAAUACAUGUGUGAUCAUGUAAAACAUUUCCAUAUUAAUUAUUUUAUACAAGUAGACUUGAACAAAUGAAAAAGUAUGUUUCAGUCGACACAGACAACAAUUCAUUCUCUGGAGGUGAAUAGCAUGUUUCAUCAUGAGUCCUUUGGGAUUGUCUUGAAUCGUAUUGCAGAGAAAAGAAAAUUCACAGUUCAUAUACAAUGUCAAUGCAACUUAUGAUUGUUUUAUCAGAGGAUCCCUACAUGAAAUCUUUCUAACAGGGUUAUAGAUAUUGGGAUUUCCAGAGAUUACCUCUCAUAGUAAAAAGAGCUGGGGGCUGGAGCUAAGGAGACUAGGGCUCAUAAGGAUUUCAGAUUUAGAACUAAUAAUGUUCUAAUUAUUAAGCUUCUAAUGGAGGCUUAAGGAUGAAUUUAUUCAAUCCUUUCAAUUUACUAAUGAGGAAACUGAGGCUCAGGGAGCUUAAGUAAUUUGAUGAAGGCCUAUAGUCAAAGAAGAAACUAGACUCAAACUGCGAUCCUUUGAGUCUAAAUCUAGUGGUUUUCCUACCACAGUAUUGUUUCACUCAGUGUAGUCUUAAUUCUGCCACUAAUUACUAAACUUUACCUUGAGCAAAUCUGUUGGAAUCUUUACAAACUGCUAACUCAUUAGAGUUGAUAGCUAUCAAAUUAGAUCCUUGUUUAAACUUUAUCAAGUAGGUAGGCUGGUAAGUAUUGUUCUCCACAUCUUUGGGUGAAGUGGUUUGUGUGUGAUUUUCUUCUUUUAAAAUAUAAUAAUGGUUUUCUCUGGGGAAGAGAGCAGGUUUCUCAGGAAGGUUUUCUGGAGGCAGCCUUAGUUGCAGUUGAAAAUAAUAAUCACCUCAAAACGCAGCCAGGUGACAAAAGUUCAGAUCUUUUUAUUGUCUCCAAUAUAGCCCAGUUAGCUUAGAGGCCUAUCUCUUUGCUUGGUUCUAAGAGCUCUUGCAGCUUUGUCCUUUGCUUCUGCCUCUGCUUUCUUCAGCCUCCAAAGUCAGCACAAAGUUGAAUCUGUCCUGCCUCUGAGAAAGGGCUUCUGGCUCUCAAUCUCCCAGAGUGCUCCUCUCCGAACCCAGUCAUUGUUCCAAAGUAAAACUCCUCACUCAGAGAGGGCUUCUGGCUGAACUCACUUGACGCUCCUUUCUCUUUUUUUUUUUUUUUUUAAUUUUUUUAUUUAAUAAUUACUUUAUAUUGACACUCGUUUCUGUUCCGAUUUUUUUCCCCUCCCUCCCUCCCUCCACCCCCUCCCCUAGAUGGCAAGCAGUCCUUUAUAUGUUGGAUAUGUUGCAGUAUAUCCUAGAUACAAUAUAUGUUUGCAGAACCAAACAGUUCUCUUGUUGCAUAGGGAGAAUUGGAUUCAGAAGGUAUAAAUAACCCGGGAAGAGAAACAAAAAUGCAGAUAGUUCACAUUUGUUUCCCAGUGUUCUUUCUUUGGGUGUAGCUGCUUUUGUCUUGACGCUCCUUUCUCAAUCUAAAUUCAGCUCCACUCUCCAUGUAAUUCAGCUGAAUUGUCUUCGAGAGCCUCUGUCUGUUUUUUAUAUAUGAGAGAGAGGAAUUGUGGGAUACAAGAGAGAGGGAUUAUAGGUUUCUUCCCAGAGUGCUCUUUGGCCCUAAGAGCUUCAAGGGAGGUGUGAAUUCACAAAGUUACACAGUUAACUUUGUGAAUCUCCCAUACUUGUGAAUUCCAAUGAGUAAAAGUGUAAAUACAAGCAUUGUAUCAAUUAGUUCUACUUAGUACCUUAUUUCAGGUUCUGCCCCAAAACAUCUUCUUGUAAGAUUAGCUCAAUAAGCUAUCAACUCUAAUAGAGUUAGCAGUUUGUAAAGAUUCCAACAGAUUUGCUCAAGGUAAAGUUUAGUAAUUAGUGGCAGAAUUAAGACUAGACUGAGUGAAACAAUACUGUGGUAGGAAAACCACUAGAUUUAGACUCAAAGGAUCGCAGUUUGAGUCUAGUUUCUUUGACUAUAGGCCUUCAUCAAAUUACUUAAGCUCCCUGAAGCCUCAGUUUCCUCAUUAGUAAAUUGAAAGGAUUGAACAAAUUCAUCCUUAAGCCUCCAUUAGAAGCUUAAUAAUUAGAACAUUAUUACUUCUAAAUCUGAAAUCCUUAUGAGCCCUAGUCUCCUUAGCUCCAGCCCCCGGCUCUUUUUACUAUGAGAGGUAAUCUCUGGAAAUCCCAAUAUCUAUAUUUCAUGGUAAUAUCCAGUCUGGAAAAUAAGGUGUCUAUAUCUCCCAAAUCAAAACUAACAAUAACUCAAUCUUAUAUAGGACUUGAAAGGUUUAUAAAGCAGUUUCCUUACCACAAAUCUGUGAAGGAAGCAUUAUGGAAGAUGUCUUUGUCAGAUGUGGAAACCAAUGCAGUUAACUUUGCUCAAAAUUUAACUAUAAAAAUGUCAGAGCUAAGAUAUAAAUCCAGAUCUCCAAGUCCAGGAUUCUUUUCAUCUCACUAUGCUGCCCUUCAAAUUUGGUGCAUGUAGUGUUGUGCCUUUUUUACUGAGGGGAUGAGGGUAGAAAGGGCUUAAUUGUGGGUUCCAUCUUAUGAUUCAAUUUUGGAACUAGAUUAGUUUCUAUUCAAUUCUGGGUCUAGUUGAAUCUCUACCUUUUGAGGAAAUUUUAUUGUGAGAAUCAGAAGAAAGCCUUAUUGUACUGUUUGAACUUAAUUAAUCUUGUGUGGUUGGGAAAUUAGACUACCUCUCCCUAUUGCUUAGGGACUCCCAACUAAAGACAUAGGUUAUGCUGGGCAGCUAGGUGGUGAGAUAGAGUACUGAAUCUGGAGUCACCUCUUCCUGAGUUCAAAUCUGGCUUUAGACGCUUAUUAGCUAUGUGAUCCUGGGGAAGUCAUUUAACUGUUUGCUUCAGAUUUCUCAUUUGUGAAAUGAUCUGGAGAAGAAAAUAGCAAACCAUUCCAGUAUUUUUGCCAAAAAAAAAAUAAAAAAUCCAAAUGGGGUCAUGAAGAGUCAGACAUAACUAAAAAAUGACUCAACAUAUGAACAGAUUAAACUGAUCAGAAACUCUGACUGAUACAAAGUUUUCUCCCAAUUGCAUUUUUCAAACAAUCCAUAUUAUUAGAAAUGAUUAGAAAACAUUGAUCAAUCAGUUAUAAUUUCCAUGUACCUCUGUUUAUAACGCUUAACAGGGAGUGGGACAUCUUUUUUGAUUCCAGGAAACUCCUUGUUCAUUCUCCCUAUCCCUAAUCUUCUAAUUGGAAAUCAUAUUACCUAAAGUUCAGUUGUUUUCUUUUAAUUAAUUGGUCUCAUUUGUUUUUAAUGUAUAAGGGCUUAUCUUCCUUGGUAUUUAGGGUCUAGGCUUCAGGUGAGGAGGUUUGGUGCUGUUUUGUUAAGCAUUUGGCAUGUAUUGGCAUGCAUUGCUUAAUAAACUGACAUGCUUGGAAGAUUGAACCUUUAUUUUCUUCAGUCAUUCAUUUUCACCUACCAUACUACUUAGAGCUCAGUAAGUUUUUAUUUAAUUGAAUUGAAUCAGUAAAAUGGAAAUGAUAAUAAUGCCUCAGAUUUCACCCUGCUGGUUCCUUAGAUAUGGGCACUGUGAUUUUGUUGGAGCUUCAGAUUACUCAGGAAUUUUUAUUUGCUGUACCAUUAAAAGAGCUAUGCAUAUAAACUCCUAACAAUACUGACUUUAGCUUUUUAAAAAACAAAAUGUUUUGUAGUAAUAAAGCCUCUUCCCUUUAUGUAGCUGAAAGCCCUUUGUAAACAUAAUAUUAUGUCAUGAGUAUAGCUGCUACCAAAAAAAAAAUUAUGGGCUUCCUAAGCAUCCAAAUGAGUAAAGCUAAAACUACUCACACCUAUCAUGUCCUGACAAAUAGCUGCUCACCCUUUCCCCACUUAAUAUCUAUCUGAUUCAAUUGUAAAAUGAAGAUAGAAAUAGCACUUAUCUCCAAGGGUUGUUUUGAGGAUCAAAUGGAACAAUAUUUAUAAAGUGUUUAGCAUAGAGGCUGUUGUUGUUGAUGUUGAGUCAUGUAUGACUCUUCAUGACCCCCAUGGAUUAUAGUAUGCAGCUUUUCUAUCCUUCACUAUCUCCUGAAGUUUAUUCGAGUUCAUAUUCAUUGUUUCUAUGAUACAAUCUAUCCAUCUUGUCUUCUUCCAUCCCCUUUUCCUUUUGCUUUGAUCUUUCUCAACAUCAAGAUCUUUUCCAAAGAAUCCCAUCCUCUCAUAAUUUGGCCCAGAUAUUUAAGCUUCAUCUUUAGUAUUUGACCUUCCAGUGAAUAGCUGGAAUUAAUUUAUUAAAGUUUUAACUGAUUUCACCUUCUUACUGUCCAAAGAAUUCUCAGAAGUCUUGUCCAGCACUACAACUGGAAAUAUUGAUUCUGUGAUCCUCAGCUUUCCUUAUAAUGCAUCUUUUUCAGUCAUACAUUGCUACUGAAAAACCAUAAUGACCCUGUCAUUAAGAGGAUGUUGUAAUGUCCAGACUAGCUCUCUGGAGGACCUAGGGAUUAACUUGAGUUCUUGGUCUUAAUGGAGGAGUGGAGGAGACAGGACAACUGCCACAUGGCUGGUCAAAGAUAGCGUCUGAAAUCUGGCAUCUUCUCUUUCAUCUGUGGCUGAGAGAGAUUCUGUCUCUUGAGAUUCCCUUAAAUACCUCAGUAUGAUUACAUCACUACAGGAUGUGCCUGUGCAACCAUUACAUUACCAUACUAAGUAUGUACUUAACUAUAAGUACUUUGCUGACCUAGAUUUAACUACACCUUUUCAGAGUUCUAACCCUCUACAGGAUGUCUCUGCUGUUUAGUAUACUAUUCAGAUUUCCUUCCAAGGAGCAAAUAUCUCUUAAUUUCACACUUGCAAUCACUGUUUACAAUGAUCUUUGAACCUAAGAACAUAAAAUCUGACAUUGCUUCCAUUUCUCCCCCCUCUGUAUUUCCUAGGAAGCGAUGGACCACUUGCCAAGAUCUUAAUUUUUUGAUAUUAACCUUCAAGUGAGCAUUUACAUUUUCCUUUUUCACCAUUAUCUAAAAGCUCCUCAAUUCCUUUUUAUUUUUUGUCAUUGGAGUGUUAUCUGUGUAUCUAAGAUUGUUGAUAGUUCUCCUAACAAUUUAAUUCUGGCUUUUGAUUCUUCUAGCAUGGCAUUUCAUAUGAUAUAUUUUGCAUAGGAGUUAAAUAAAUAAGGUGACAAUAUA
This is a long non-coding RNA of Antechinus flavipes (yellow-footed antechinus), 9441 nucleotides long. RefSeq lists it as uncharacterized. The record is from RefSeq and is a predicted model, not a curated record. The transcript has 3 exons. Lineage: Eukaryota; Metazoa; Chordata; Mammalia; Dasyuromorphia; Dasyuridae.